CACACUACACCACUACUCUUACUCCCAACUGAGAAUCUGUACUACUAUGUGGACAAAGUAUUCAGUGCGAUCGUAGGAUCAAGUGUGAGCUGUCCCACUGUGAUGUGUGAUAUUUUUUAUUCUCUGAGACAGAUGGCUGCUAAGAGAUUUCCUAGAUACACAGACAGUUAGGACUUUAACUCUCAUCUCAAAAACCAUUCAGAUUAUUGGAAACUGGGGAUGUCAAUCCAGAAGAAAGUCACGGUUCAAAAAGUCAGUCAUGUGUGAAUUUCUCAAAAUGUUUCAAGAAGAAAGGUAUUUUACAGACGUGAAAAAG
RNAcentral lists this long non-coding RNA (316 nucleotides) under Rattus norvegicus (Norway rat). RNAcentral describes it as "long non-coding RNA NONRATT028887". Lineage: Eukaryota; Metazoa; Chordata; Mammalia; Rodentia; Muridae. The record is from RNAcentral.